CCUAUGUGCAAGUAACCCUCAUUUUACUUAACAGUGAGUGGCCUCAAGGAGCAAAAAUGGCGAUGCUGGCAAUUGAGAUCUGCUAAAGAGAAGCCAGAAUGUGCUUCUUUUAAGUGAAAAUAUCAUCUCAAGACUCCAUAGGACCUGGCUGUAUUUUCUGAGAAACUGCUGGCCCCUGCUAGAUCUCAAUCAAAUGUUACCGUGUCCUGUCUCCCAUGCAUCUGGAGGAGAGCACGGAAGAUAUGAGAUGGCGCCACUGCCAGCAACUUUACUCAUCUUGGGAGCGGGAUAAUGUAACUGGUUUCGUAAACUUCCCUUUCUUAGAGUAUUCAAUUCUCUCUAAAAUUUGAAGGCUUCUCUCUUACCUAUCUUUGAAAGCACAAAAUUCUCUGGGAUAACUUUCCCAGACUUUACACUUACUCAUGGUCACAACCACCACAGAAAAAGAAAGCCUAUCCUUUCAAAAUAAUAACUCCAAUUUACAAAGUUAUUAUUUGGAAGCUGAAUACUGAAUUUUAGGGACUCACUCUGAACCACA
This is a long non-coding RNA of Pipistrellus kuhlii (Kuhl's pipistrelle), 538 nucleotides long. RefSeq lists it as uncharacterized. The transcript has 2 exons. The record is from RefSeq and is a predicted model, not a curated record. Lineage: Eukaryota; Metazoa; Chordata; Mammalia; Chiroptera; Vespertilionidae.